RNAcentral lists this transfer RNA (71 nucleotides) under Fukomys damarensis (Damara mole-rat). It matches the Rfam family "tRNA". Rfam says of the family: Transfer RNA (tRNA) molecules are approximately 80 nucleotides in length. Their secondary structure includes four short double-helical elements and three loops (D, anti-codon, and T loops). Further hydrogen bonds mediate the characteristic L-shaped molecular structure. tRNAs have two regions of fundamental functional importance: the anti-codon, which is responsible for specific mRNA codon recognition, and the 3' end, to which the tRNAs corresponding amino acid is attached (by aminoacyl-tRNA synthetases). tRNAs cope with the degeneracy of the genetic code in two manners: having more than one tRNA (with a specific anti-codon) for a particular amino acid; and 'wobble' base-pairing, i.e. permitting non-standard base-pairing at the 3rd anti-codon position. Lineage: Eukaryota; Metazoa; Chordata; Mammalia; Rodentia; Bathyergidae. The record is from Rfam by way of RNAcentral.
GGGGAUGUAACUCAGUGGUAGAGCACUUGCCUAGUGCGCAUGAGGGUGCCUGGGUUCAAUUCCCAGCACCA